GGACGGCUUCUUCCCCUCGCGCUCUGGCUUUUCUUCUCUCCGGUGUUCGGCGCCUUGACCUGUCGUCGCGUUUGCGUUUUCCGCUUCUUCCUUCGCUCCUCUCUCUCCGUUUCUUCUUCUUCUACGGUUGAUUUGUUUCGCCGCUUUUGCCCUUCGGUGCUCGCAGAUUGCUCGGGGCGGUCGCGCGUGCGCCUCCGUGUGGGUGUGGCGCGGGGAACAAGUCGAGUUGUUCGGUUUAUGGUUUAUUUUUUCCUGUGAUUCGAUCCUCCAGUAUUUUCGUUUCGAUCCUCGUUUUCGCCGUCUUCGCCUUCUCAGCGUGUGGGUUGCAGGAUUACCUGUCCCGAUUGGGGAGUUGGAGGCGGGGUUCCUCAUGGCGUCGUGUGGCAAGGAGGUCGAGGCAGGUCAGUCUCUCGUCAGAUCCGGCGGUUCAUUGGUUUUAUCACUCGGAGGAUCGGUGGUUUCAGGCUUAAUCGUCCCGGUGACCGUUGUGAUCUCAUCCUAUGGGCUCGUGUUACCGAGCGAUCUUCUCCGCUAGUCAAAUCAUGGGUUAAGGUGGAUUCAAGACCUCGGUCGAUUCUUAUUUUAACAGCUGAUCUCGUUUGUGGUGGGUGUUUGUCCUGCUUUUAGAUGCAGAAAGGAAGGGUCCUUGAUGGUUCAGGAGAGAUUAUUAGUUCAGAAGAGUUGAAGGGUGGAGGUUUGCUUAUGGUUCCUUCGUCGAUUUUAAUUUGUUAUGGUCGGUUUGGUAUCAUGGUGGCGUGAAGGUCGCCACCGGACUAACUAGAAACUUGACAGCCCGUAUGGGAGUUGCUGUUAGCUGGAUCUGCAGAGGAAACAAAUAGAGGUGCGAGUUUUAGAGGCAGAUUGAGGCGUUGGCUGGUCUGAAGUUCAUACCGCCUGGAGAGCACCAUCGUUUGGAUAUCUCUACCCCAGUUCUUUCUUAUUGGUCCCUACUCUUAAAUUUCUGCAUGCUGCAAUUCUGAUAUCCGGGCUUGCGGUUCUUCUCCAGCAAUUGGAUUAUAUGGACGGAUGGAUGGGUUGGAGGCGGGAUUGAUUCUGCUUGAGCAAAUGGAACCGUGGAGGGUUCCGUGUGUUUGUUUACUAAUAAUCCUCUCCUGUCAACGUUUUUCGACAAUUAACUUCCAUCAUAGGCUACCAUUGAUUCGUUAGUAAUUCUGCAGUUUGGGGGAGGCAUCAGCAAACAGAUAGAACUGUCGCACAGAUAGAACUGUCAGCUGGAAUAGUCAACGAUUGAUCAGGCUUUAUCCCUAUCCCUACAUUUUGAUGAUUGCAAUUGCUGUUUAAGGGUCAAAUUGAUGGUUACCGUAGAGUGGCCUCUCACUGAUUGCAGAUCGCUAGGUGAUACUUGCACAGGAGCAAUAGGAAGCCGACUGAAUCUCUCUUCAGCUUUUCAAAACUACCACCUUCUCCGAUUUUCUCAUCUUGUUUGUUGAGUGGAUUCUACCUCAAAAGUAGAUAAUGAUCAUAGUAUGGUCAUUAUUGCAGGUCACCAGCUGAUAUUUUUGCAAGAGUUGUUGGUGACGAUUGGAAUGUGUUGGGAGUGCUUUCUAACCUAUUCUAAUUUGAGACAACAUGCUAAUUUUUUGGAAUUAUGAUAAUUUCUCAGUUUAAAAUUCGGAUACUAUGAUCAACAUGCAGUGGUAGAAGGUUCUGAGCAUAUUUGGGGGAUUCAAGCUGGCACGGGGGAAUUUUUGGCUACAGCAUACUGACCCUACACUCGUUCUAAACUUGUUUCUGUUUCUUCAUUUAUGCUUUGAACAUAGCUUUAAUUCUGGUGUUGCUUCUCUAUGUUCGCAGAUCAUUUAGCCCAACUAGUUGGUAGUCCGUCCGUCUGAUUUGGUCAUAAAAUGUUCGGUUUGGGAUUUCUCUCUGUGGUUUCAUUUGCUCUAUCUAUAUUUUUGUGCUCAUGUGGUGGUUGCAGGAUUAGUUGGGCAUUGGAACUUACUGUAUCUAAGAAUUGGCACUUGAAAUUGAGGGCAGGUCAGAGUCUAGUGCACGGUCAUUUUGGUUAUAUUGGUUUCAUUACUUGUAUUCAGUGGUUUCAGAUCUGAAUGGUUGGCUAAUAUUCUGCCCCUCCAGUGGGAUAAUGAUGAGGUUUGAGGCCCUGGAUUUAUUCAGUAUUGUAUAAGCUGAUCUUUGUUGUGGUGUGUUUUGUGUCAUUCAGAGAUGCAGGUGGGGCAUUGGUUGUGGAGGUUGAUUGGUGUAGAGGUUUGGUUAUGGCUGACAGUAGUUUUGCUAUUUCCGCAUUAUAUUAUGAUGAACCAUCAUGACAUUACGACUAAAAUGCUAAAGCUUCGAUUGGGAUCAAGGUUCAAAUCUAUAGGAUGCUUGGAAGCAACACUCUGAUUGGAAAAAUUAUGACUUCUGAUUGCCAUCAAUGUUCAAAUCUGUAGGAUGCUUGUAAUUAUUUGGAUGACUUCUUUUGUGCCGCAACAAUUGAAAUUACAAGAUGUGACACGUGCACAUGCUGAGCUAUAAUUUCCGAUCAUUUGUUGCACAUGCUUCGUGCCCGUUCUCUACUAAGCCAGGCCUAUCCCUAUCCUAAACCAUGACUUACCGUGAUUUUAAGGAACCCAAAAGAGACAAUCCUUCGGUAAUUUCAGGCUUAGAAAGUUCAAUUUUGCAAGUUAAAUCUGAUAUAUAUCUUCCAAAUUCUGCUGCCUUCUUUACUUCUGUUGACCAGAGAACUUAUGGAUAGUGUACAUUGAUUGCUUGGGGACCUGCGUAAGACAUUCUGAAGCUGUUUGAAUGAACCAUGAUAGCUUGAUGAUCAACAUCUGCAAGAAAGAUCCCUCUGCCCAGAGUUUGCCCCCCAACUAUUUUCCUCAGUUGUUGACUACAUAUUACUUUCCAGCUUGCUCGUUCAAGGUUGUUUGGUUGGUUUCCAGUUACUGGAGAGUAUGGAUGCUUAGAAGUUUGGAGUAAUGGGGCACUUUAUAAGAUUCUUCCUUCUAACCAGAGUUCACUCUUGCUAAUAUCCUGAGUAAUACUUCUAUUUCGGAUCCACUUUCUGAUUUAAGUUGACAGCUGUUUGGUUGGUUUACAGCAGUUGGACCUUAGUAUGGAUGAAUGCUAAGGCAUCCCGAGAUCUGGCUGUUUUUGUCUAUGGAUUCUUCCAGUCAUUUACAAUCCUUUAACAAGCUUAUUGAUGAUUCUUAAACAGUCCUUACCCUAGAUGCCUCAUCCAAUGGUGCAGGUUCACUGUUUGAGUUGAUUUCCAGUAAGAACUCUCGCUAUAUGUUGGUCCCCAGUUAAUUUUGCAAGAAGCAGCGUAGACCAUGUUUCUACCUUCUAAUAUCUAUGCUUUAACCUGACUAAUAAAUUUAUCUGCAAAAUCAUUUAGCUUUUUGAAAAAUAAUCAUGAAUGUCUCUUCUAGAUAGUUUACAGAAUGUAGGGUCAUAGUAUUACCUUGUUCUAAUUUCAAAUUAGGGGAUGCCUACUAACAUGCAAUCUGGUUCCUGAUUUGAUUCUAUUCUCACUUCCUUUGGUAUAACCCUUAGUCAGCUUAUUAAUUUCAUUCGUGACUAUCAAAUUUACUUGUCUUGAUAGGGGUUGUUAAUUCAUUCACUAAUUAAUCAUAAUUUUGUUAAAUUCAUCAUAUCGCGGUAAAUCAUAACCAUUAGUAUUUUUAGUAAUCUAGUUAUUAUAUGAAAUCAGCAUUAUAAAGUUUUGAUAACUGAGGAGAUAGUUGUCCCUAGCUUCUUUGGUGAGUCAAGCUACAUUUUCUUGUCCUCCUUUUGGUUAUCAUGGUAUCGAUCUCCUGGAGUGAUGCACUUCCUUCGCUGCACCCUUUAUGCCCUCAUCUUCACUUUAUAUGCAGACUCCAGUCUUUUGAACUUUGUUCUGUUAUUCCCACAUUUAGGGGUCGCAUCAGUUCAUUCUAUCGUUGUGGAUCAAAACCAAUUAUUGCUCUCCCCAAAAGAGAAUCUGUCUGAGCUAACAUGUUGUUUGGCUGAACAAUUGUCGCAUUUGAGCCUAUACACCAUUUGGUGAUGCAAUUUCUGCUUUGCGGCAAGCUUCUGAGAUGGAACUGGAGUCUUCUGUUUGCUUGUUGCUUGGUGGUCAUUUUUGUGGCAGAGGUCUGAUUUACUGGACAGUGUUAGUGUUUAUAUACCUGGAUUUCAGUUUCAAGAAUUUGGGUUGAAGUCAUCCUGGUUCAGAUAAAUGUGUGGAUUUGCUGUGCUUGAAGUCAAAAGACCGUUAGGAUUGGGAUGUAUAGUGAAAGCUUAGAGCAGAAGCUUAGGUGCUUGCUUUAAGUAAUCUACUAGAUUUUCUCACCCUGACUUGUAUUAGUGAACUUGAAUCGUGUGCUUGGUUCCAUUUGUAUGUUAGUUGUUCAGAUUUGUUGGUAAAGAUAAAGAUCCCUCAGUUUGGUGAAGCUCUGUUAUCUUGACAGAUCAAUAUGUUAUAUGGUUGGUUGAAUAGUGGUCUUAGGUUAGCUACAGACUAGGAUGGUCAAACUUGCAUUUUUGGUUAGGUUGUAACAAACUGCUUGCACAAGUGGUUCAAGAAACGUAGCAAAAGUAUGCUGACUUUUUAAGUACUAUGAUGGCAUUGUUUGCACUUAUUGGAUCUGAGGUAUGAGGAUGCUAAAAUGAAGAAGUUUUGACUUAACUAUUGUUAUUAGCCAACAACAAUCACAAACUUCUGAAUUGGAUUGCUGGACCUGAAAUAAUAUCUGGACCAGUUGGUAGGACACUUGGUACUCGAUAGUCUUGAGCUGCUGCCUGUGUGUUUUCUAUCAGUGGUCAUGGAGUUUACCGACAAUGUCAGUUUUUUGUGAUAAGUUGGAUAAACUGUACAAGAUGAGGAUUGCCCAGUGUAUGCGUGCUUGUGGACUUAUUUAGCUCUGUGUAGUGCUGUUGGUUUGGAGACUGCACUUCUUCGAAGUGUUCUCUCCUGUGAGCCAAGUUCUGAUUUGGGUUCUUGAUCAUGAGUGAUUUUUUCCGAAGCUGGUCGUGGUGGCCAUUGAGUUUCUUCGUAUGGAGUUGCAGAAUCUGCAUUGGCUAGCUGGAUAACUCUUUAAUUUUCUUGAAUAAGGUUAACUAAAACCGUGUUGUGGUUUGCUUGUGACAGUGCACACCAUCAUCCUCCAGAUCCCAGGUCUCUCUGUUCUUGUACCAUGGAGCCAACUGACCUGAAGUCUUAUCCUUGUCCUGAUUGUUCCAUCACAUAAACUGCAAAUGAACACUUCUUGCCA
Panicum hallii is the source of this 5219-nucleotide long non-coding RNA. RefSeq lists it as uncharacterized. The record is from RefSeq and is a predicted model, not a curated record. The transcript is spliced from 2 exons. NCBI's taxonomy places the organism in Eukaryota, Viridiplantae, Streptophyta, Magnoliopsida, Poales, Poaceae.